RNAcentral lists this ribosomal RNA (473 nucleotides) under uncultured bacterium. RNAcentral describes it as "bacterial LSU rRNA". It matches the Rfam family "Bacterial large subunit ribosomal RNA", at positions 1767 to 2251 of the family's 2925-position model. The record is from RNAcentral.
AAAUUGAUGUGAAUACAGAAGAGGGGGUAGCGACUGUUUAUUAAAAACACAAGACUUUGCUAAAUUGGAAAAAUGACGUAUAAGGUCUGACAUCUGCCCAGUGGUGGGUAAUGAAAGUGACAGGAAUUUAAUUCUUGAAACAUAAGUCCCAUUCAACGGCGGCUGUAACCCUAACGGUCCUAAGGUAGCGAAAUUCCUUGUCAAAUAAGUAUUGACCUGCAUGAGUGAUGUAACGACUUCCCCACUGUCUCCAGAAUAGGUUCAGUGAAAUUGCAAUUUUCCGUGAAGAUGCGGAAUAAUUAUGGCUAGACGGAGAGACCCUGUGCACCUUAACUAUAAUUUUAUAUCGCUAGAUAGAAUUGAUUGUGUAGUAUAGCUGUGAGUUUAUGAUCCCUUUUUAUAGGUUAGACAUCAGUGAAAUAGCAGUCUUUCAAAUCUUGAUAGCUAACUUUUUGUAGUAAAAAUAAUAUGAU